AGCGAACGCUGGCGGCGUGCUUAACACAUGCAAGUCGAGCGGUGAACCACUUCGGUGGGGAUCAGCGGCGAACGGGUGAGUAACACGUGGGCAACCUGCCCCUAGCACUGGGAUAACCCCGGGAAACCGGGGCUAAUACCGGAUAUGACUCUGAGCGGCAUCUCUCAGAGUGGAAAGAUUUAUCGGCUAGGGAUGGGCCCGCGGCCUAUCAGCUUGUUGGUGGGGUGAGGCCUACCAAGGCGACGACGGGUAGCCGGCCUGAGAGGGCGACCGGCCACACUGGGACUGAGACACGGCCCAGACUCCUACGGGAGGCAGCAGUGGGGAAUCUUGCGCAAUGGGCGAAAGCCUGACGCAGCGACGCCGCGUGAGGGAUGACGGCCU
RNAcentral lists this ribosomal RNA (384 nucleotides) under uncultured bacterium. RNAcentral's name for it is "bacterial SSU rRNA". It matches the Rfam family "Bacterial small subunit ribosomal RNA", at positions 28 to 417 of the family's 1533-position model. The record is from RNAcentral.